This 45-nucleotide ribosomal RNA is filed under the name Rubroboletus satanas (devil's bolete). Its description in RNAcentral is "partial 18S small subunit ribosomal RNA". Lineage: Eukaryota; Fungi; Basidiomycota; Agaricomycetes; Boletales; Boletaceae. The record is from RNAcentral.
AAUCGUAACAAGGUUUCCGUAGGUGAACCUGCGGAAGGUACAUUA